Molecule: ribosomal RNA, 497 nt
Filed under: uncultured bacterium
Lineage: Bacteria
Description: partial 16S ribosomal RNA
Rfam family: Bacterial small subunit ribosomal RNA
Source: RNAcentral
GAUGAACGCUGGCGGCGUGCCUAAUACAUGCAAGUCGAGCGAACAGAUGAGGAGCUUGCUCCUCUGACGUUAGCGGCGGACGGGUGAGUAACACGUGGAUAACCUACCUAUAAGACUGGGAUAACUUCGGGAAACCGGAGCUAAUACCGGAUAAUAUAUUGAACCGCAUGGUUCAAUAGUGUAAGACGGUUUUGCUGUCACUUAUAGAUGGAUCCGCGCCGCAUUAGCUAGUUGGUAAGGUAACGGCUUACCAAGGCGACGAUGCGUAGCCGACCUGAGAGGGUGAUCGGCCACACUGGAACUGAGACACGGUCCAGACUCCUACGGGAGGCAGCAGUAGGGAAUCUUCCGCAAUGGGCGAAAGCCUGACGGAGCAACGCCGCGUGAGUGAUGAAGGUCUUCGGAUCGUAAAACUCUGUUAUUAGGGAAGAACAAAUGUGUAAGUAACUAUGCACGUCUUGACGGUACCUAAUCAGAAAGCCACGGCUAACUACGUG